UACGAAGGGGGCUAGCGUUGCUCGGAAUCACUGGGCGUAAAGCGCACGUAGGCGGAUUCUUAAGUCAGGGGUGAAAUCCUGGAGCUCAACUCCAGAACUGCCUUUGAUACUGAAGAUCUUGAGUUCGGGAGAGGUGAGUGGAACUGCGAGUGUAGAGGUGAAAUUCGUAGAUAUUCGCAAGAACACCAGUGGCGAAGGCGGCUCACUGGCCCGAUACUGACGCUGAUGCACGAAAGCGUGGGGAGCAAACAGG
Molecule: ribosomal RNA, 253 nt
Filed under: uncultured bacterium
Lineage: Bacteria
Description: partial 16S ribosomal RNA
Rfam family: Bacterial small subunit ribosomal RNA
Source: RNAcentral